This 233-nucleotide ribosomal RNA is filed under the name uncultured bacterium. RNAcentral describes it as "partial 16S ribosomal RNA". It matches the Rfam family "Bacterial small subunit ribosomal RNA", at positions 118 to 351 of the family's 1533-position model. The record is from RNAcentral.
UGAGCAAUCUGCCCUUCUCUUCGGAAUAAGCGUUGGAAACGACGUCUAAUGCCGAAUACGACCUCCUUUCGCAUGAUCGGAGGUGGAAAGCUCCGGCGGAGAAGGAUGAGCUCGCGGCCUAUCAGCUAGUUGGUGUGGGUAAUGGCCCACCAAGGCGACGACGGGUAGCCGGCCUGAGAGGGUGACCGGCCACACUGGGACUGAGACACGGCCCAGACUCCUACGAGAGGCAG